Molecule: non-coding RNA, 79 nt
Filed under: Paenibacillus sp.
Lineage: Bacteria; Bacillati; Bacillota; Bacilli; Caryophanales; Paenibacillaceae
Description: ZTP sequence
Rfam family: ZMP/ZTP riboswitch aptamer (pfl RNA motif)
About the family: Previously known as pfl RNA. ZMP is also known as AICAR.
Source: RNAcentral
UAACCAAUGUGUGACUGGCGUAAACAUGGAUAACCAUGAGGAAGCACAUUGCAAACAGCCGUACGCCUGGGCAAAGUAU